GGCAAAGGAGACAACGCCAUCGCUGCUGGAGGAGAUGGUGGACGAGCGGCUGGACGAGCAGUUGGCGACAUGGAGGAGGAAGAUCAGUUCUUGGCUGCGGAUACUUUGUCUGUUCUUCCUCCUGCUGAUGGUGGCCAUCUUCUUCCUGCUACUGAUGAAGAGGGACACCCUUAACUGGGUCCUGCCACCGAAAAUGGCAGCUGCCCUUAGGAGCCCGCCGGCGACACCCCAGUUCUUUUGACAUCAAACUAAAAAGAGAAUAAAGAGAUGUGUGAUUGGAGGACACGUGUGUCUCCUUG
Long non-coding RNA from Neopsephotus bourkii (Bourke's parrot), 299 nucleotides. RefSeq lists it as uncharacterized. The transcript is spliced from 3 exons. NCBI's taxonomy places the organism in Eukaryota, Metazoa, Chordata, Aves, Psittaciformes, Psittacidae. The record is from RefSeq and is a predicted model, not a curated record.